Molecule: long non-coding RNA, 663 nt
Organism: Bos indicus x Bos taurus (hybrid cattle)
Lineage: Eukaryota; Metazoa; Chordata; Mammalia; Artiodactyla; Bovidae
Source: Ensembl
CAGAGAGCCAACUGUGAAAUGAUGACUUGGGAAAAGGCAGUGAAAAUACAGGGUUAUUGGAGCGUUUGCCUUCCUGGGGCCUGAGCUCAGAGUCAGCAGGGGCAGGAGCCAGCAGAGUGGAAUCCAGGCUCCAUAGACUCACAACUUCCCUCACUCUUCUCAGGUCCUUGCCACUCAGGGAGGAGAAGAAAGGAUCCCCUUGUUAGGAAAGUAAUGGGAAGCUUCAGUCAAUCUACCCUCUCACAACCCUGGCUCCAUUACCUGACAAUCUACUCAUCCCUUUCUGGCUUCUGAUGCCGAGUGAAUGAUGGGGGACUGGUUGUGGAAUCCUAUCUUGAAUCUAGCACUGGAGGGAAAAGAGUGAGCACAGCCACAGGGGAAGCACAGCCGUCCUCCUGAGACUGAAGUCUGUCUGACACGGGAGGCAAGAGAUCCCUGACAGAGCUCCACUCGCCAGCCAUCAUGAGGACCAGAAGCAAGUCUGCAACCGGCCUCAGCCUCAGCCAGCUGUCUUCCUCCUCCGUUCCUUUUUUAUCUAAACAGGCAGUAUUUGAAAAUAAUUGAAUGCGUGACCUCAGGCUUGGGAGCUUGGAGAAAGUGGCCAGCGCCGCCAACCUGGGUUCUUCCCUGAUAGAGUGAAGAGCAACACAGCAAAAGGAGCUC